RNAcentral lists this ribosomal RNA (505 nucleotides) under uncultured bacterium. RNAcentral describes it as "bacterial SSU rRNA". It matches the Rfam family "Bacterial small subunit ribosomal RNA", at positions 29 to 527 of the family's 1533-position model. The record is from RNAcentral.
AUUGAACGCUGGCGGCAUGCUUUACACAUGCAAGUCGAACGGUAACAGGCCUUCGGGUGCUGACGAGUGGCGAACGGGUGAGUAAUGCAUCGGAACGUGCCCAAUCGUGGGGGAUAACGUAGCGAAAGUUACGCUAAUACCGCAUAAGCCCUGAGGGGGAAAGUGGGGGACCGCAAGGCCUCACGCGAAUGGAGCGGCCGAUGUCAGAUUAGCUAGUUGGUGGGGUAAAGGCCCACCAAGGCGACGAUCUGUAGCGGGUCUGAGAGGAUGAUCCGCCACACUGGGACUGAGACACGGCCCAGACUCCUACGGGAGGCAGCAGUGGGGAAUAUUGGACAAUGGGGGAAACCCUGAUCCAGCGACGCCGCGUGUGUGAAGAAGGCCUGCGGGUUGUAAAAGCACUUUCGGUGGGAACGAAAUAAUGCCGGGCCGAAUACCCCGGCAGGCUGACGUUACCCAAUGAAGAAGCACCGGCUAACUCUGUGCCAGCAGCCGCGGUAAUGUG